This 120-nucleotide small RNA is filed under the name unclassified sequences. Its description in RNAcentral is "LOOT RNA". It matches the Rfam family "LOOT RNA". From Rfam's summary of the family: Latescibacteria, OD1/Parcubacteria, OP11, TM7. Lineage (Microgenomates, aka OP11) The record is from Rfam by way of RNAcentral.
AGCCUAAACCCAGUAGUGAUACUUGGCAUGGCACAAAAUCCUAGUGAAUAUUAACGGGCUUCUGCUCGGUCCUAUUCACUAGGUCUACUUCCGAAAGGUUGUAGGAUGUCGCAAGGCAUC